AAUAAGUAUAGCUUUACACUAUUCAUGUUCAAUAUUUGAUCGUUCAUCUUAUUUAAAAUUUUUUAAUAAUUAUUAUUUUUAUUGCUAUUAGAUGAUAAAACAUGAAUAGUACUUUAUGUGUAACUAAAUAUUUUUAAAUUUUUCACAAAUUUUUCUAAUAAGAUGGACGGUCAAAUGUUUAGCACGGAUAUUUACGGCUGCACUUAUU
Oryza glaberrima (African rice) is the source of this 208-nucleotide non-coding RNA. NCBI's taxonomy places the organism in Eukaryota, Viridiplantae, Streptophyta, Magnoliopsida, Poales, Poaceae. The record is from Rfam.